GUGGCUGUGUUCUGUGACGUUCUGAGGAUGUGUGUGAAAUUAGCAUAAACAAUAAGUUUUAUAUCGAGCCACCGUGACUGAACAGGAUGUCGCGGGUGAUGAGAUUCAGCAGAUGCAAUAAGUUCUUUGUGGUAAAUGAUGACAGUAAGAUUAUCUUCAUUUGAAAACAUUACAGAACCUAUUUACUUCCUCGAAGAGAACUCAGCUUCGGCACCUGAAGACCAGAACCACCUAAAUGUGAACCAGAAUCCAGGGUGGAUCCAGAUCCAAGUCCUUUAACACUGAUCUCAUACUGAGCUGCUGAUGGCAAGUCUGGUCCGGCCCAUCUCUCAGAAACAGUUCCCGAGUGUGAACAGGGUUCUGGAUGUGGUUCAGUGAGUCUCUGCCUAUUCUGACCCACUGACUUUCACUAGUUUGGGUUGAAACUGGGUUCUGAACAUGUUCUGAAUCGUGGACAACAUGUGUCUAUUUAAAUAUGUCCUGCAGAAUGUUCGCAGUCAUCAGACUGAACAGGAACAACAGGAACCAGAGGUACUGGUGGUUCUGUUUGUAGAACUGGUACCAGCGACAGAACACAGCAGCAGACAGACAAACGUUUGUUCAACUUUUUAUUAGAAACCCAACAAACUGCAGCCAAAACUCACAAACUUUUCUUCCUUUCAGUUGUUUUUCUACAGAACAUGUCGAUUUAUUCAUGAAGGUGCUUCAAAGAUCUCCGCAGGAUUUCUGUGGAUGUUUAAAUAAUAAAUACGAAUGCUUUUAAAAUAAAAAUAUGUUUUCAUGAAAUAAGGCUGAAGUUCUCCUGAGCUGAUUUUAUUUGUACAUUACAGCAGAUUUGUGGGUUUGGAUAAUAAAAAAUAAUGUUCCAUAAAAUUAUGUCAGAAAACACACAGAGCUUAAAUACUGCAACAUAAAUAUAAAGCAUUCAAACUAUAAAGAUAUGACUGAAGCUCCUACAUUUCCCAUAAUCCAACUGGUCUCAGUGGGAACACAGAUCUGUUAACCUUCAUGACAGGAAGUGGACAUUUUUCAACAUUAACAAAAAACAGAGAGACAGUCGACAGCAUCAGGAAGAUUCCUGAUAUCAACACAACAACGCUAAUAUAAAGGUGGCGUGUAGAUCAGUGCCUCAGCUGUUAGCAGAGGAGCAGCUUCAUGUGUUAGCGUUAGCAUAGCUUAGCUUCAGAAGGAAGGACACUUCACAUCUGUGGAGGACUGAACCUGAAACAAAUGACUCAUUAUAUAUAAAUUAAUAUAUUAAUUGCACAAAAAUGAUUCUCAAAAUAAAUGUAGGGAACAAAUCAAGUUACAGAAACACUAAAUGUAUUUUUGAGUCCUGCCACAGAACAAUGCAGUGAUCUGUUCUAAUAAUCAAUUAAUUGUUUGUGUCCAAUAAAAAUACUUCUAAUAGCUUAGUAACACUGAACAGAAACAACAAUAAUAAUCUAAUGAUUCAUUACAGAAACAACACAGCUGCAUGCUUCAUAUUUUCAUCAGACACAUUUCUACAACAAUUAAUAAUUAUUAGAACAAAAUGAUUUUCUGUGUAGUUUAAUAUUUGUUGAUGUUCACACUGAUGAAGUUUCACAAGUUUUACAUCUUCAGGCCUGAAAAAAAACUCUUUAGUGUUUAAUGAGGAUUUAUAAACAAAUUAAUUCAUUGUCAUCCCGACUGUAACAACCUCAUUAUGAACAAUUUAAUCCUUCAUUAGGAGCUUAAUAGAUAUAAACGAUAUUUUCACAAAAUGUAACAAAGUUAAAGAACUUAAAACCAAAGACACACAGAGGACUGACACAAA
Acanthopagrus latus (yellowfin seabream) is the source of this 1798-nucleotide long non-coding RNA. RefSeq lists it as uncharacterized. The transcript is spliced from 2 exons. The record is from RefSeq and is a predicted model, not a curated record. Lineage: Eukaryota; Metazoa; Chordata; Actinopteri; Spariformes; Sparidae.